RNAcentral lists this ribosomal RNA (1471 nucleotides) under metagenome. RNAcentral's name for it is "bacterial SSU rRNA". It matches the Rfam family "Bacterial small subunit ribosomal RNA". The record is from RNAcentral.
AGAGUUUGAUCCUGGCUCAGAUUGAACGCUGGCGGCAUGCCUUACACAUGCAAGUCGAACGGCAGCACGGGAGCAAUCCUGUGGCGAGUGGCGAACGGGUGAGUAAUACAUCGGAACGUGCCCAGCUGUGGGGGAUAGCCCGGCGAAAGCCGGAUUAACACCGCAUACGACCUACGGGUGAAAGCGGGGGAUCGCAAGACCUCGCGCAAUUGGAGCGGCCGAUGGCAGAUUAGCUUGUUGGUGGGGUAAAAGCCCACCAAGGCGACGAUCUGUAGCUGGUCUGAGAGGACGACCAGCCACACUGGGACUGAGACACGGCCCAGACUCCUACGGGAGGCAGCAGUGGGGAAUUUUGGACAAUGGGCGCAAGCCUGAUCCAGCCAUGCCGCGUGUGGGAAGAAGGCCUUCGGGUUGUAAACCACUUUUGUCAGGGAAGAAACGGUCUGAUCUAAUAAAUCGGGCUAAUGACGGUACCUGAAGAAUAAGCACCGGCUAACUACGUGCCAGCAGCCGCGGUAAUACGUAGGGUGCAAGCGUUAAUCGGAAUUACUGGGCGUAAAGCGUGCGCAGGCGGCUAUGCAAGACAGAUGUGAAAUCCCCGGGCUCAACCUGGGAACUGCAUUUGUGACUGCAUGGCUAGAGUACGGCAGAGGGGGAUGGAAUUCCGCGUGUAGCAGUGAAAUGCGUAGAUAUGCGGAGGAACACCGAUGGCGAAGGCAAUCCCCUGGGCCUGUACUGACGCUCAUGCACGAAAGCGUGGGGAGCAAACAGGAUUAGAUUCCCUGGUAGUCCACGCCCUAAACGAUGUCAACUGGUUGUUGGACGGCUUGCUGUUCAGUAACGAAGCUAACGCGUGAAGUUGACCGCCUGGGGAGUACGGCCGCAAGGUUGAAACUCAAAGGAAUUGACGGGGACCCGCACAAGCGGUGGAUGAUGUGGUUUAAUUCGAUGCAACGCGAAAAACCUUACCUACCCUUGACAUGUCUAGAAGUUUCCAGAGAUGGAUUCGUGCUCGAAAGAGAACUAGAACACAGGUGCUGCAUGGCCGUCGUCAGCUCGUGUCGUGAGAUGUUGGGUUAAGUCCCGCAACGAGCGCAACCCUUAUCAUUAGUUGCUACGCAAGGGCACUCUAAUGAGACUGCCGGUGACAAACCGGAGGAAGGUGGGGAUGACGUCAGGUCAUCAUGGCCCUUAUGGGUAGGGCUACACACGUCAUACAAUGGCCGGUACAGAGGGCUGCCAACUCGCGAGAGGGAGCUAAUCUCAGAAAACCGGUCGUAGUCCGGAUCGUAGUCUGCAACUCGACUGCGUGAAGUCGGAAUCGCUAGUAAUCGCGGAUCAGCUUGCCACGGUGAAUACGUUCCCGGGUCUUGUACACACCGCCCGUCACACCAUGGGAGCGGGUUCUGCCAGAAGUAGUUAGCCUAACCGCAAGGAGGGCGAUUACCACGGCAGGGUUCGUGACUGGGGU